Long non-coding RNA from Orcinus orca (killer whale), 11966 nucleotides. RefSeq lists it as uncharacterized. Lineage: Eukaryota; Metazoa; Chordata; Mammalia; Artiodactyla; Delphinidae. The transcript is spliced from 2 exons. The record is from RefSeq and is a predicted model, not a curated record.
CUCUCACUGUUGUGGCCUCUCCCGUUGCGGAGCACAGGCUCAGCGGCCAUGGCUCACGGGCCCAGCCGCUCCGUGGCAUGUGGGAUCUUCCCGGACUGGGGCACGAAUCCGUGUCCCCUGCAUCGGCAGGCAGACUCCCAACCACUGCGCCACCAGGGAACCCCAGACACUGUAUUUUUUUUCUAGUAGUUUGAAAAUGACCCAGUGCGUGAGGAUAAGGAGAAAUAACAAGAUAGGGUAAGAACAGCAGAACAGCAUUCCGUAGGACAAGGAAAGCUGGUGGGGACAAGUGAGUAGGGAAGAAAAAUUUUAGAAUAUCUUGAUUUGGGGGUGCUCUGAUCUUCUAAGGGACUCUGGUUUUUGGAAGGUUGUUAUCAGUGGGACAGACCACUGAUGACAAAAAUGUCUGGCCUUUAGGACGCUAGAAAAAUGACAAGUAUCACCAUAACAGUUCCCUAUGCAGGGAUAUUUCCAUCAUGUCUUUCUACAGGGUUUUGCACCUUGCUUUUUCCCCUUGAUAUUUCAAGGAUAUUUUCUUCUGUUAUCAGUAUUUUCAGUGGCUGAACAGUCCUGUGGGUGUGUCAUAAUUUAAUUUUUAUUUAGCAUUUAGGCCGUUUCCAAAUUUAUAAAUAAUAUUGCCAUGAAUAUCUUUGUGGCUAAAGCUUUCAACACAGAUUGUAUAUUAGGACAGAGACCCCAAAGUGGAAUUUUUGAAAGAAUUGCUAAGAAUUUUUAAGGAACUUGAAACCAUCACUAGCACUGGUAUGUAUCUCAAAAGUUUUGGAAGAUGUACUUGUUUGGAUAGAUAGUACAUACACAUGGUUCAAAGUUCAAGGAUACCCUAUUGCCCUUUCUGCUCCAGAAAGAGAAAAUGAGGUUGAAACAGGGGAAAGUUUAACUGCAAGCUUAUUUGUGGCAAGCUUCUCUUCUGCUUUCUUGUGGUUGGAAUGAGUACCUUUUUUAAAAAUUAAAAAAAACAAAACAAAAAAAACUAAUAUGGUAACUUUCAAGUAUAUGCAAAAUAAAGAUAAUAGCAUGAUAUAACUCCAUAUAACCAGUUUCACCGUUUGUCAGCAUAUUGGCCAAUCUUCUGUCUAUAUACUUUACUACUGUUCUGGUCCCCUUGGUAUUUACCAUCUUGCAAGAUGGUUUCUUUUUUUUUUUUUGGGGUAUGCGGGCCUUUCACUGUUGUGGCCUCUCCAGUUGCAGAGCACAGUCAUCCAGACGCGCAGGCGCAGCGGCCAUGCCUUACGGGCCCAGCCGCUCCGCGGCAUGUGGGAUCUUCCCGGACCAGGGCACGAACCCGCGUCCCCUGCGUCGGCAGGCGGACUCCCAACCACUGCGCCACCAGGGAAGCCCGCAAGAUGGUUUUUUAUUGACCUAAAAUUACGCCUUUUUUCCCACAAAUGUUCCAAUUACCAGCAAGAUCUCUUUAUAUUCAGAUUUGGCAACCUCAAAGUGUAGUUUCUUGCUUAAGGCAUAUAAUCCAGGUGGCAGAUAAUUUUUUCCUUGAUUUUAAGAGGAGUGUUUCUCUCAGUUGACAUCCAAGUGCUGCUUCCCAUCAGCCUUUGCUCAAGAGGAGGAGGAAAGGCUGGAUGGGUCACGAGUGGGGAGAGGAAAGGUGGUGCUGUGUCAGGUAGGUUUAGAGAAGGGCUUUAUCAUUACUGGACUGUUUUUUACUGCCUUUUUUGGGAAAGGGACAACAAAGGCUGAUAUCUUUUGUCAGUUCUGGCUUUUAUCACCAAUCUGAUAGAAGUGCUAAAACCCAAUUGAUUUGUUGAGGGCGAUGUGGAUAAACAAGUUUUGCUUUUGUUUGGUUUUGUUCCUUGCCAAGCAUUUUUAAAAAAUCAUUUUUGCCUUAAAGUUAUCAUGGUACUGGUUGUAGGUAUGAGUAGGUAGGUAGGUAGGUAGGUAGAUACGUACAUACACUAGCUGUCUGGGCCCGGACACCUUGGGCUUGAAUUCCAUGCUCAGAAGUAUGGAGUUGACUAGUUUAUUGAUAUCAGUAAUACAGGUGAGUAUACUGCCGUUUUAUUUUUUUACCAUUCGAAGGUCCUGCAGAAAAAGGCUAGAUUUUUGGAACCAUUUAUUGAGGAAGAGAAAACAACAUGGUAAACUUCAAACAGCUUUAGUAAUGAAUUGAACUUUAAAAUUGCAUAAAAUAUAUUUCUAUUAACAUUACUUAUUUAGAACUCUGUCUAGCAUAUAGAUUCUCAAAAACACUGAAUUAUAGCUAGUUCUUAUUUUGGAUUUAUGGUACUCUUGCAUUUUGAUCAUGUUUUUCUCUUCAUAAUCUGGCUGGCUGUAUAAAUACAUAUAUUUUUUAAUGAAGGAUGAUUAAGACUAGCUUUUUAGCAAGUGUUUACAUCUGUUGUGAAAAUCACGUCAGUACUAUAAUUUACUAAGCUGUUAUGGCAUAGCAUUACCCUGAAAUGUUGAUGAGUUCCACAACACAGUGGAAAACCUAGUGUACUUUUGGGUAUGACUUUUUUCACAUCUGUUCUAUAGACUUCUGCACUGACUGUAAUAUUUUUGGGAAGACAAGAUUUUUGGGGGGGGGGGGUUACGCGGGGCUCUCACUGUUGUGGCCCCUCCCGCCGCGGAGCGCAGGCUCAGCGGCCAUGGCUCACAGGCCCAGCUGCUCCACGGCAUGUGGGAUCCUCCUGGACCGGGGCACGAACCCGUGUCCCCUGCAUCGGCAGGCGGACUCUCAACCACUGCGCCACCAGGGAAGCCCGGAAGACAAAAUUUUAAGUUACACACUCUCAGAUUAAAAUAUUGCAAUAUAGUUGGACAUUUACUGUCACUUGGGAAGCAUCUUUCUAUAGUUUUCCCAUUUAAUUUCACAACAGUUUUAUAAAGUGAUGGUCCCAUUUUACAGGCAGAAAUGUUUAAGUAAUUUGCUUAUUAAGGCUUGAGUUAAAAGUAUUUUUCCUAAAUCUCGGCCUCUUUUAAAAGGUUUUUUAGUUUUCAAAAAGGAGUCAAAGGUGAAGUGUAUACAUGGAUACUGGUAAUCUUUUAGCUAUUGUCUCAGUGAUCUGUUUUCAUUAAUUUUAGUCAAUGUUCCAUUGUUUGCAGAAGCUUUGAAAUUGCUUCAAACUGCUGCAUAUUUAAUAUUUUCCCAUUUGGUUGUGCUUGAGAGGGUUGUUAUGUAAUCCAGGUUUUUAAUACAGAGCAAACUUCUUUAGGACAGCCCUAAGAUGAAAUACUCAAUAUGAGUGUAAUCUUUCUUCUAGAAAAUAUUUGGUCCCAUGACUGUGGUGUGUUUUAAAUACCAUUUAACAAAGGAGAACUUGCAGUUUUUUAGCAUAAGGAGGUAAGUACCAUGCUUUUGCCAUUGGAGUCUUACAGGUAUGGCCAAGAAGUGAAAGGAUGCUACUCAAACUGAAUGGAAGAGUAUACCUCACUUGAAAGAAAUGGGAGGAAGCUGUGACUUUUUUGUACAUCAAAGAUAAUAUGGGCUUGUGUGGAAUUCACAAACUGGAAUGUGGAAACAUGUUUUGAGGGGAUUUAAGUGAAGAUCAAAGGAAGAAAAGAAUGUUAACUUGAAUAUUUUGUAGAUGUUCUAGGCAGUGGAAGAAGUGAAUGGUACUGAUCCAGAAUUCACACAGGGAAGGUAGAGUUGUGAGGGGAUUAUUGAACGUCUGUGGGAACUUCCACACACAGAAAGUGAAGGUCAGCCCAGUGCUGUGGUAUCAGGACACUGAAGUCACCCUGAGCAUCAGGGGAGAUUUCCUAGAGAAAUGAUAGCAGAGCAGUGAGGGGUGGAUGUUGAGGGGAGGGGAAAGGCUGGAGGAAGGAGUGUCCAGGCAGAGGGAAUAGCAUUGUUUAGUUGCAGAAUGUACAGGGAGCAGAAUCUGUUGCAUGAUUGAUCCAGUCACUACUGGUUGCGUUGAGAGAAUGUUAGGAAAUGAGUCCAGAGAGGUAAAUAGGGGCAGGAGCCAGUUCAUGAAGGGCCUUGUGGAGUUUGGGUUUUUUUCUUAGGCUUUGGAGAGUCAUUGAAGGGUUUCAGGCAGAAGAGGAUCAUUGUCCGGUUUUUGGUUUGGAGAGAACCUUGGCAGCAGUGUGGAAGUUGAAGAGGGGGACAGUGCGGCAGAGGGACAAGACUGAUUAGUAUUGCAGGGUCUGCUCUGAAGGUAUGAGGAACAGGACAUGGACAGUGACGGCAGAUUUGAGAGAGAGAAUUUGAUGGUUGGAGAUGGGAGGAGGAGGAAGGAGAAAUGAUGGGGAAGAUCAAGUCAGUUGCUGACAUGCUGUCCCUGAGGAAACAUUUAAGUGGCGGUAAAUGGAAGCAUCAUGGCUACAAGUUAAUUCAUGAAAAGCUCUUAAAACAGGGCCUGGCACAGGUUAAGCACUCAGUGUUACUUAUUAUUCAUUAAGUAAAUAAAUAUUUAUUUAGGAACCACUAACGCCCCGGUUCUAGUCUCAGACCUGGAGGAUAUAAUAUCCCCUGCCCUCACAGAACUAACAUUCUAGUGGGAGUCUCCUACCAGGCAUAAUAAGGUCACCUAGGCAAAAUUGAGAGCUGAAGUCAAAGUGAACCCUGGGGAAUCCCACUUCAGUAGUGACUGGAAUGAGGAAGAAAAGACUAAGUAGAUGGUGAUAGAAAACCAAGAAAGAAAGCUAACAAAGUGGACAAGAGUAUCAAGAAAGGGGGGUUAGUCUGCAGUGUUAUAGAUCCCUUAAGAAUUAAGAUUAAGACAUAAGAGAACAUGGGAUAUGUGAGGUAGGAAGACAGUUGAUGACAGUGGUAAUGGGGUGAGGAGUGAAUGAAAGGUGAAGAAAUGGUAACAAGUAUAGGCUAAUUUUCAGAAACUUGAUUUUGAAGGAAACAGAUGAGAUUAAAAGGCAUCGUUUAUUUUAUUUUUUUUUCCUCUGCGGUACGCGGGCCUCCCACUGCUGUGGCCUCCCCCGCUGGCUCCGGACGCGCAGGCUUAGCGGCCAUGGCUCACGGGCCCAGCCGCUCCGCGGCACGCGGGAUCCUCCCGGACCGGGGCACGAACCCACGUCCCCUGCAUCGGCAGGCAGACUCCCAACCACUGAGCCACCAGGGAAGCCCCGGCAUUGUUUAUUUUAAACCUCAACUUGGACUACAUGUUAAUGGGAAAGUACAGGAAAGAGAGUGACUGAUGGGAAUAUCUUGAGAGGGAAGAAGCAUCUUGUUUGCAUACAGGGCGGAGGCGGCAGUGGUAGGGGCAGUUGUUUGUCAAGUAAAGGCCUUUGGUCACUUUCCUUUGAAGAGGCUGUAGUAGAGCAAGGGUUGCCAGGCAGUGAGUGCUAAGGGCCCUGCUGAGGUUAAAAAGCCUUAAUUUGUAGUGAUUACAAUCUAGUUUUUUUUGGUCUCUCCCUCUCCCCUACCCCGCACCAUAUUUUGGGUAUAAGUGUUGAAAGCAGGCUGGGUGGCUCUAUUGAUGGAGAAUUUGGGUGUUUAGAGAUGGUAUAGCAGAAGGACAAGGCAUAGGAAUGUUGAUAUUAAUGCAAAAAUAAUUGAAUUUGAUGGAUCUUGAUGAAGCUUACAAGGAGGAAAUAAAACCUAAAGGAAAGGGGCUGAGAAUAAAGGAGAGGGCUCAAGAGCGAGUCUAGUAGGUGGAAGUGAGGGCUGGUAACAUUGAAGGGUAGGUAGGAGUUUGGUUUUAUUAUUUUUUACUUGUUUUGGCCGUGCCGCACAGCUUGCAGGAUCUCAGUUCCCCAACCAGGGAUUGAACCCAGGCCACGGCAGUGAAAGCUCCAAGUCCUAACCACUAGACCACAAGCGAACUCCCCUUUUUAAAAAAUUUUUUAUUUUUUAAUUUUGUUUAUGUCUUUUUGCUUUAUUUAUUUAAAAUAUUUAUUUAUUUAUUUAUGUUGGCCACACCUCUUAGUUCCCUGACCAGUGAAAUCGCCGUGUCCUAACCAUUGGACUGCCCAGGAACUCGCAGGAGUUUGAUUUUUAAAGUGAAUGGUUGGGGGUGGGGCGGGGGGAUAAAUUAGGAGUUUGGGAUUAACGUAUGCACAUUACAUAAAAUAAUCAACAAGGACCUACUCAAUAUCCUGUAAUAACCUGUAUGGGAAGAGACUGCAGAGAAUGGAUACAUGUGUAUGUCUAACUGAGUCACUUUGCUGUACGCCUGGAACUAACACAGCAUUGUAAAUCAACUAUACUCCAAUAUAAAAUAAAAAUUAAAAAAAUGAAUGGUUGUGAGUGAGGUUAAAGGUGUGGUUUAGGGAUAAGUUGUCAGAAUCGAGAUAACUGAACUGUUGUUCAGAAUUAAUUUGAGGGAGUAGCCUUGGAUAAGGAGGUAGGGCCAGAGGUCUGGAUACAGGUAAACAAUCUCAAAGAAAGUGAACAUGACAUUGAUUCUAGGAGAAAUUUUAGAAGCACAGAAAAGGCAUGAAAGAGAAGAUUGUGAGGGAGUCAGUAUGGGCUUGUAUAAGAACCUGCAUAACUAAUUUUGAUUUAACUAAUUUUUAUUUUUUAAAAAUAUUUAUUUAUUUGGUUGCACCGGGUCUUAGUUGUGCCAGGCGGGCUCCUUAGUUGAGGCUCCAGUUAACUAAUUUUUAGAAUAGGGUUAUUUGACUGCUAGCCAAGGGAGUGCUAGAGCAUAGUAUAUCUAUUUCCUGAUUUGUGAGGUUAAAUGGUGAGCUGCAGAGCUUUGGCAUUUGUCCCGGUUGUUGAAAAGUGAGAUCAGACUGGAGCAAUGGGUGGAAUCUCGGCUAAUGAAGUGGCCUUGUUUUUGCUUCAGGUCCUGUACCUUGACCCUAAAAUUCAACUGUUCGUUACAUUUGAUGCAGGUGGCACUUAACAAUAGCCAUCUUAAUAUUCGUUAAGUUUUUGUUUGUAUCAAACUACCUAAAGCAGAUAUUUCUUGUUUAUCACAGUUCUUUAUACUGGCCAGGUAGUUUGGGUCUAGACUUGCUCCUGUGGGGCCGGAAUAACUAUGAAGAGGUAAAGGCCUCUCAUCUCCAGGUUAACCCAGGCUUCUUUGCCUGGGGAAGGUUCCCAGCAGCGAGUCCUGAUUCACAAGCACUUUUCAGGCCUUUGCUUACCUCAUACUUGCUAAUGUUCUACUAGCCAAAGCAAGUCUCAUGAUCAAGUUCAGAUUAUAGAGUUGCGGAAAUAUAGUUCUUGAUGGAAGUUCUUGAUGGAAGUUCUUGAUGGAAGGAGCUGCGAAAUCAUUUAAAAGGAAGGAGAUACACACAGGGUUGGAGGGAGUUAUUAGGACCAUUUAUGCAAACAGUCUGGGCUGGAUACAGCCUAUGUAGAUUCAUGUCACUUAAACAUUUGGAAGUGACAGUUUAGGUACUGUGGUUGAUUCACUGCUGAGUGAAGUGUGCUACCUGCCCUUAAGGACUUUAGUCCUUUUAGGAGAAAGAAAGGUAUACAGUUAAACUACAAGGCAUUAGAUAUAAGCAGUAUAAUAACUGCAAGGUGAAAGUUACACACAGAGUAAGCAGUAGUUAGUUCUGCCUGAGGAAUUUUCAGGCUUCAGGAAGUAAGUGUAGUAUUUGAAUUAGGGCUUAAAAGAUGACAUAUAGAGAAUUUUUCUUCAUAGUUCUGGAAGUGCGUUUUAGGUGGUUGGAAAAGCAUGAUAGCAGAGGAGUGUGUAAUAUGAGGAAGACUGCGAGACCUGGGUCUGGGUAUUGAUGACUUGAAGCAGGGCUCUAUUGAUAUUUGGGGCAAAUUAUUCUUUGCUCUUGUAUGUGGCUGACCUGUGCAUUGUAGGAUGUUCACCAGCAUGCCUGGCCUCUGCCUGGUAGAUAAUAUCUAAAUAGAGCUGCUUUUAAAAUGCACUGUACCAUAGGUUAUACAGCAUUUUCAAAUACACCAGCUUAUUUACCUUCUUCCCCCUGCCCCCCUCCCCCCCCAAAAAAAGCAGAUCUAUGGUAAAACUAGCGUUAUAAAUGUUAGUUCAUUUGUGCUGAAUUCAGAAAAUAGCCCGGCUAAAGUGUGAAGUGGUGUAUUCUAAAUAGCAGACUGACGAGUACUGGCAAAUUUGGGGGGAAAGAGUCAGGAUGAUGAGGGGAGUUGUAUCUAGAUCAUAGAAACAGUUAAGUAGAGAAGACCUAGGGGUAUGAGGACUAUCUGUUUGAAGAAGUGAUUCUGGCUCCAAGAAAUAAAAUUCUUAAGGCUAGCGACUGGCAGUUUUAGGGGAGAUAAACUUAGCUUUAUCUUCAAGUCAGGUACUUCUGAUGUUACUCUCUAAAGGUGGAUUUAGGCAGAAUUCUCCCAGGUGUCCAAGUAGAGGGUUGGAAGAGCACCCAGCAGGGUCUGCAAGAGGGAGGGGAGCACAGCUUUGGGUUUGUGUGUGGAUUGUCUGUAAUUUGAGAAGUUGUUAUUUUAGUAUAUUUCUCUCCUGCCUUUUUUCCCCAUAGUGGCAGAAUUGAAUUGCUUCAUAAUGAAGAAUACCCAUGGUAGGGAAUGUAAAAUUCUUAUCCCUUUUCAGGUUUGCUUAACUAUAUCUGAGCAAUAGAGAUAACGCUCUCGUUCUCAUUUUUGGCGAGGCUAUUGAGAAAUAUUAACCUAUGUCAAACUACGUAGUUUAUUUGAAAGCGCAAGAGGAGGAUUAAAUAAGAGGUAGAGGUUCAUGCUGUAUUAUAGUGGGUUUUCUUUGUAACAGCCCACAUGUUAUGAAGUAUUUGGAAUUCUGAACUUGUCAAAUAAGCUAAUUAAUUAUUGACAUGUGUGAAAGUGCUGUAGAGACUAUGGCAUAGUGCAGCAGUUUUAUCUUUAUUGAGAUAUGGUUCACAUACCAUACAAUUCACCCAUUUGAAGUGUACAGUUCACUGGUUUUUAGUGUGUUCAGAGUUUUGUAACCAUCACUAGUAUCUAAAUACAGAACAUUGUCACCUCCCCAGAAGAAACCCUGUACCAUUAGCAAGCUGUCACUGCCCUCUGCCCUGCCUCCCCGCCCCCCCCCCCAACAAAAAGAGCUCUAAGCAACCACUAAUCUAUUUUCUGUUUUUAUAGAUUUGCCUGCUUGGGACAUUUCAUGUAACUGGAAUCAUAAUAUGUGGUCAUUGAUGAUAGGCUUCUUUCACUAGCCUAAUAUUUUUAUUGUCAUCCAUGUGGUACCAUGUAUCAGAACUUCAUUCCUUUUUAUGCCUGAAUAAUAUUCCAUUGUAUGGAUAAUGCUACAUUUAACUUAUCUUUUCAUCUGUUGACAUUUGGAUUGUUUCCACUUUUUGGCUGUUUUAACUAAUGCUGCUGGGAACAUUUGUGUGCAAGUUUUUGUGUGGGUCUCAUGUUUUCAUUUCUUUUGUAUAUACCUAGGAGUGGAAUUGCUGAGUCACGUGGUAACUCAACAUUUUGAGGAACAUUGUCCUGCAGUUCUUAACCUGGAGAAAUAGACGUGUGUGGAUCCCAUGCAAUACUGAAUCUUUGAAGGUUAGGGCGCUAGGGAGAGUGUUUUACAAAAAGCUCCUCCUUGGUUAAGAACCAGUCAUAUAGUGGAAAGCAUAUGGGAUUUUGAGCCGUGAGAUUUGCAUUCCAUUCUUUGGCUCUGAGCCUUAAUUUUCUAAACUCUAAAAUGGAAAUAACAGUACUAAAUCAUAAAGGGUUAUCUGGAGGACCAAGGAGGUAUUAUAAUUUUAGUGAAGAUCUCAUUUUUGAUACUACAAAAGUUAUUUAGAAAAAUACGGAAUAGAUGAAUACUUCUUAACAUGAUAGAAGUAUCUUUUAAACAAAGAGUUGGUAUUUAAGAAUGAAACACUGGACGUAUUCCAUUAAAUUCAAAAUGAAACAAAGAUGCACAUUAUAAGCAUUAUUAAUGUUGUCCUUGUCCUUGCAGUAGAUGUGAUACAGUAUAAGAAAUCUAACCACGGGAAAGGACAAGUGAUAUUUGGAAACCAUAAAAUUAGGUAGGGAGUAAACUGGAAAAAUGUUAGAAUUAGUAAUUCAGUGGAACAGGGCUGAAAUCUAUAGUAUGUAUUUCAUAUAUCAGCCCUAAUCUGUAUAAAGAUAUAAUGAAAGAUUUUUAUGCAACUAAGUUUUGGGUUUUUUUGCUUUUUAAGGUAUUCUUGGUAGAAGCGAGGUGGUGAGCACAAAGCAGCAGGUGUGGGUUUGAGUUAUUUACAUCAGUAAACUUGUUUACAUAAAACUGCUGGCUUUGAGCUUUUUUUGAAAACUUGGUUUUCAAAAUUGACUUUAAACUUUAAUCGUGGGUGUGAUUAACUCGGUAAGUUAUGGAGAGGGUUUGUUUGAAUAGGUACUACUGGUAACAGGUCAAAAUUCAACCUCCUCAACCUUGACUGCCUCCCAGCCGCUCUGUUUUCAGACCCUUCUAGAAAUACAGUGAGAGCAUACAAAUUCCUUUUUAAUGGCUACCUAGAACUCUGUUGUGUGGAUGUUUCAUAAUCUAGCCAGACUUCCAUCGAGGACCAUUUAGGUGGUUCCAAGACUUUAGCUGCUACAGAUGAUGGCAGUGAAUCAGUUUCUAGAAGUGGAAUGGCAGAGUCAGAAGUUUUCUUAGUAUUUGUAAUUCUGACAGCUGUUCCCAAUUGCCCUCCAUAAAGUUUGUACUAAUUUAUGGUUUCCAACAAUGGAUGCGAGUGCCUGUUUAUCCACAGUAUCAGCCUUCACGGUGAGUCAUCAAAGUUUAAGUUUUGCCAGUCUGAUUGGAGAAAAAUUAGCAUUUAUAAAAUGAAUGAAUUUGAGUACUCUACUUACAUUUUCCUUUUUCUUUUUCAAUUGUCCAUUCCUUUUGCUCACUUUUCUAUUACUGAUUGGUCUUAAAUUCCUUUUAGGAAGGUGUUUUUGUUUUUGUUUUUGUUUGGCUGUGCCGCUGUGAGGCUUGUGAGAUCUUAGUUCCCCAACCGGGGAUUAAACCUGGACGCUUGGCAGUGAAAGCACGGAGUUCUGACCAUUGGACCACCAGGGAAUUCCCUGCAAUAGCAUGUCUUAAAGUACAUAUUUUUUUAUUGGAGUUUAGUUAAUUUACAAUGUUGUGUUAGUUUCAAGUGUACAGCAAAGUGAUUCAAUUAUACAUAUAUAUUUUUUUCAGGUUAUUAUAAGAUAUUGAGUAUAGUUCCCUGUGCCAUACAGUACGUCCUUGUUGUAGAAAAGUACAUAUCUUAAUUAAAAAGUACUUCAUUGCUAAAAAUUGCUAGCCAUCAGUCUGACAACACAGGGUUGCCACAAGCCUUAAGUUUGUAAAAAACUGCAGUAUCUGUGAAGCGCAGUAAAACAAGGUACAGGCUCUAUUAGAGAAACUAGUCCUUUCUCUGUGACAUGUUGCAAGGUUUACAUCUUCAGAGACUCAAGGUGGGAGAAAGAGCACAGGAUUUGAAACCAGAGGACCCGAGUUUGUGUCCCUGCCCUGCUGUGUGUUAGCAGUGUGAUUUUUGGGAAAAAGUCCGUUGAUUUCUCCGCAUCACACCUGUAACGUAUAAUGUCCACCUUGUUAGGGUAGUUGUGAAAAGAACAUAGGAUUUGGUGGCUGUCAGAAAAGCCCAGGUUCUCAGGAAGCUCUCCUCUCAUCCAUGAGACCUUGAGCUUGGCCCUGAAUAUGCCAUGGAAGUUUCAUUUUUCUUCUAGGAUGUUCCUCUUCCUGGAAUGUUUCCCUUCAGCACAGUUUUUAUCCAGGGUCAUUGCUACUGGCUUUUAUUUAUUUAUUUUAAAUUGGUAAAUUUUUGUGUAGGCUUUUUUUUUUUUAAUUUAUUUAUUUUUGGCUGCAUUGGGUCUUUGUUGCUGCACGCGGGCUUUCUCUAGUUGUGGCGAGCGGGGGCUAUCCUUCGUUGUAGUGCGCGGGCUUCUCAUUGCCGUGGCUUCUCUUGUUGCAGAGCACGGGCUCUAGGCGCACAGGCUUCAGUAGUUGUGGCACGAGGGCUCAGUUGUUGUGGCUCGCGGGCUCUAGAGCACAGGCUCAGUAGUUGUGGCACACAGGCUUAGUUGCUCUGUGGCAUGUGGGAUCUUCCCGGACCAGGGCUUGAACCCGUGUCCCCUGCAUUGGCAGGCGGAUUCUUAACCACUGCGCCACCAGGGAAGUCCC